Molecule: small RNA, 29 nt
Filed under: Bombyx mori (domestic silkworm)
Lineage: Eukaryota; Metazoa; Arthropoda; Insecta; Lepidoptera; Bombycidae
Description: ovarian small RNA-25464
Source: RNAcentral
UCACUGUCAAUAAUUGCAGGGCGAAUUAC